Sceloporus undulatus (fence lizard) is the source of this 232-nucleotide long non-coding RNA. RefSeq lists it as uncharacterized. The record is from RefSeq and is a predicted model, not a curated record. NCBI's taxonomy places the organism in Eukaryota, Metazoa, Chordata, Lepidosauria, Squamata, Phrynosomatidae. The transcript is spliced from 3 exons.
CAGCCAUCCAGAUCCAGGAGAUGAACCUGGUCCUUCUCAGUCCAUGGCAGAGGAGCAACCUCCCUCCAAGACAAUUUCCAGAGGCAGGAGAUGCUGAUCUGUCCAACUCUCAAGAGUUCAGUGGAAGACCAGCCUCCCUCUGAGCCAGCUUCUCUGCCGUUGGAAGAUGAUCUCUUAGUGGACAGAGACAUAGAGGAACUCAAUGUAAAUCUGAAUCACUCAGAGAGGUACC